This 248-nucleotide unclassified non-coding RNA is filed under the name Tubeufiaceae sp. RNAcentral describes it as "partial contains 5.8S ribosomal RNA, internal transcribed spacer 2, and large subunit ribosomal RNA". Lineage: Eukaryota; Fungi; Ascomycota; Dothideomycetes; Tubeufiales; Tubeufiaceae. The record is from RNAcentral.
CGCACAUUGCGCCCCUCGGUAUUCCGUGGGGCAUGCCUGUUCGAGCGUCAUUACACCCCUCAAGCUCUGCUUGGUGUUGGGCCUCUGUCGCGCCUUAUCCGCGCCGACUGGCCUCAAAUGCUUCGGCAGCCUCCUCGCCGGCCCUCUCAGCGCAGCAGUUCGCGCCUGUGAGCCGGUGGGAGAGCCGCCUCCACCGAAACCCCCCCAAGUUUGACCUCGGAUCAGGCAGGGAUACCCGCUGAACUUAA